AGCGAACGCUGGCGGCAUGCCUAACACAUGCAAGUCGCACGGUCGGGGGCAACCCUGGCAGUGGCGGACGGGUGAAGAACGCGUAGGGAUCUAUCCACGGGUGGGGGACGACCGCGGGAAACUGCGGCUAAUACCGCAUGACGAGCGUGCUCGGGAGAGUGCGUUCCAAAGUUCGCAAGAGCGCCUGUGGCGGAGCCUGC
RNAcentral lists this ribosomal RNA (200 nucleotides) under uncultured bacterium. RNAcentral's name for it is "partial 16S ribosomal RNA". It matches the Rfam family "Bacterial small subunit ribosomal RNA", at positions 28 to 234 of the family's 1533-position model. The record is from RNAcentral.